AAAUCUCGUGCCAGCCACCGCGGUUAGACGAGAGGCCCCAGUUGAUAAUACAACGGCGUAAAGGGUGGUUAAGGACAGAUAAAAUUAAAGCCAAAUGGCCCCUUGGCCGUCAUACGCUCCUAGGCGUCCGAAGCCCUAACACGAAAGUAGCUUUAAACAAGCCCACCUGAACCCACGAAAGCUGAGAAACAAACUGGGAUUAGAUACCCCACUAUGCUCAGCCAUAAACCUAGACAUUUAACUACAAUUUAAUGUCCGCCAGGGUACUACGAGCAUUAGCUUAAAACCCAAAAGACCUGACGGUGUCUCAAACCCCCCUAGAGGAGCCUGUUCUAGAACCGAUAAUCCCCGUUAAACCUCACCACAUCUAGUCACCCCAGCCUAUAUACCGCCGUCGUCAGCUUACCCUGUGAAGGACUUAAAAGUAAGCAAAAUGGGUACAACCCAAAACGUCAGGUCGAGGUGUAGCGCAUGAAGUGGAAAGAAAUGGGCUACAUUUUCUACUACAGAAUAUCACGAAUAUGCACCAUGAAACAAUGCUUGAAGGAGGAUUUAGUAGUAAAAAGGAAAUAGAGAGUCCUUUUGAACCCGGCCCUGAGACGCGUACACACCGCCCGUC
Molecule: ribosomal RNA, 619 nt
Filed under: Hypselobarbus kurali
Lineage: Eukaryota; Metazoa; Chordata; Actinopteri; Cypriniformes; Cyprinidae
Description: partial 12S ribosomal RNA
Rfam family: Bacterial small subunit ribosomal RNA
Source: RNAcentral